Molecule: ribosomal RNA, 465 nt
Filed under: Vreelandella stevensii
Lineage: Bacteria; Pseudomonadati; Pseudomonadota; Gammaproteobacteria; Oceanospirillales; Halomonadaceae
Description: partial 16S ribosomal RNA
Rfam family: Bacterial small subunit ribosomal RNA
Source: RNAcentral
CCUACGGGGUGCUGCAGUGGGGAAUAUUGGACAAUGGGCGAAAGCCUGAUCCAGCCAUGCCGCGUGUGUGAAGAAGGCCUUCGGGUUGUAAAGCACUUUCAGUGGGGAAGAAAGCCUUGGGGCUAAUACCCUCGAGGAAGGACAUCACCCACAGAAGAAGCACCGGCUAACUCCGUGCCAGCAGCCGCGGUAAUACGGAGGGUGCGAGCGUUAAUCGGAAUUACUGGGCGUAAAGCGCGCGUAGGCGGUCUGAUAAGCCGGUUGUGAAAGCCCCGGGCUCAACCUGGGAACGGCAUCCGGAACUGUCAGGCUAGAGUGCAGGAGAGGAAGGUAGAAUUCCCGGUGUAGCAGUGAAAUGCGUAGAGAUCGGGAGGAAUACCAGUGGCGAAGGCGGCCUUCUGGACUGACACUGACGCUGAGGUGCGAAAGCGUGGGUAGCAAACAGGAUUAGAUACCCGAGUAGUC